This is a long non-coding RNA of Acipenser ruthenus (sterlet), 2198 nucleotides long. RefSeq lists it as uncharacterized. The transcript has 3 exons. NCBI's taxonomy places the organism in Eukaryota, Metazoa, Chordata, Actinopteri, Acipenseriformes, Acipenseridae. The record is from RefSeq and is a predicted model, not a curated record.
CAUGCUUUAAUCAAGGAUUAUGUUACGAUUUGGUCAACAAAUAUGCAUGUUUUUGUCCUGAUGGGUACAAGGGGAAACACUGUGAAAUAGAGAAUGCCCCCCCACCCGUGUUUCAAUGGAAGAACUUGUGUGGAUGGCCCUGCUACAUAUGUCCUGAUGGGUUUUAUGGUGACUUUUGUGAAGAAGAGAUUAAUGAAUGCUACUCAAUGCUAUGUCUUCAUUGUUCCAUCUGCCAAGUCCUUGCAAAUGGAUACCGCUGCCACUGUAGACUAGGUUGGACAGGGCUCCACUGUGAAUGUGACAUUAAUGAGUGCCAGUCAGAGCCAUGCUUCCAUGGGAUAUGUAUCGAAAAGGAUCCCGACCAUGGAUACAACUGUUUCUGCCGUCCUCGAUUUGUGGUGUGAGGUGUUUCUUUUUCAAACUGGCUGCAAGAUUAAGUAAAUGCUGAAUACGAUAUGUUACUGUUCAGCAUUUUUGCUUUUUAUCUUGCAAAUCACAAAGCUCCCAGAUGGAUAGGAAAAUGGUGCCUCAGUAACUUCUAUUGCAGUAUUGUAACAGCUGGAACCUUCCAGAUGAUUGUUCACGCCUGUGUGCCCAACACUAAUUUAUACUCUGAUUUAGGAGACAGGGGAGCUAUAUAUUACAAUUUUAAUGGCUUCUUUAGAACCUCUAGUUUCUCUGAAUAUAUUCAGUGGGUGACAGUGUUUAUGAAAGCAUUAUUCUUUUUCUUCCUUAACAUAUAAAAAGCUUAUCACCUCAUAAUGUUUUCCCAUCAAGUUGAUACCAUAUUGGCAGAAUAUAAAAUAAAUACCAAAGGUUAUGAAAGAAUAUAAUGAUAGUCAUUAAUGUAUUGCACUUAGCAGCUGCAAAUGUAUAUUUUUGUAAAAUAUUCCUACUGUCUGGCUGAUUAUUGUAAUGAGACCCAAUUGAAGCAAUUCUCUGGCAAUGCUACAUUUGUGGUGUCACAUAAAAAGAUGUUUAACAUAUUCUUUCAUACAAACUGAGUGGUAAAACCUUCUGGAAUAAUAAUGGAUUAAAAUCAAUUGUUCAUAAUCAUAUGUAAUGAAUAUGUUACAAGAAACUCAAGGUUAAGGCCUUCGGUAUUAGGGCCACGUUUUGUUUGUCUCUUAUAUAGUCAGGUCUCAUUGUAUUUGCAUUUCAUCAAAACCUGCACCCCAGUAUUAAGGCCAUUGCACCCUGGAUCUGUCAUCCGAAAACUCAUCCGUCAAGUUGAUUGCACAUUGGAUGCGUUAAAAACCACACCAGGAAAAAAAUGGCAGAGGUAUCUUCAACCAGCUCCAGCAGCGAUGAUGAAGAUGUAUUACUUAUCCUGUGGAGUCAAAGCCAAAAACGCAAAAAAGGCAAUAUUGGAUGCACCCAAUAUUAAAGAAGCAUAAAGAGAGCUGGGGGAGUAUCACAGGCUGAUACAGGAGCUCAAACAGGACAAAGAACGGGUCUGAGUUUAUUUCAGAAUGUCAGUAGUUCAGUUUGAGGAGCUACUAAUAAUAAUCGGUUAUAAUAUACAGUUGUUCGUGGUUAGCUACGCAGAGAAUAAGCUUCUCCAGAGCCAUGCUGAACACAAAAACAGGAACUACAAGAAUCCACCUGCCUUCCCAGUCAAAUUGAUGCAUCACCGUUGUACAACAAUUACAGACUCAGUAUGCAAGAUGCAAUAGGGAAUGCACAUCAUCAUUUUUUUCUUCUUAGACGCACAUCGGAUGCAUAAUCGGAUCCAGUGUGCAAUGGCCUUUACAAAACCUCUCCUGCUGCAUGGACCAAGGAGAGAUUCAUUACAAUACAUACAUACAUAGAACCCUAUAGAAUUAACUAAUGUAGCUUCAUAAAAUUGAAUGAAACCUGCUGAAUAAUGUUACUUUAACAUAUUGAAUUACAUACCUGUAGCAGUGCGGGGCCCUGCUUGUAAAUAGUGUUUGGUUUGUGUAUUGGUGGUGGUGGUUGGCAGGGAUGGGGUUAAUUGCUAUCCCUGCCAAAUACAUGUGAGAAUGUUGUUCUCACAUGUAUUUGGCUGUUCCCAAAUUGGAAAAUUGGUGCUAAUUGGGAACAGCCACAUGAUAUGAAAAGGGAGGUAGAAACUCCAUUAAGAGAGAGGUUAUUGCUGCCGCAUGGAGAGAGAAACGCUCCUAUAUUUAAAAUAAAACUCCUUUCACACUAGCUAGUAUGCUACUGGAAGACUUGGA